RNAcentral lists this long non-coding RNA (368 nucleotides) under Crocodylus porosus (Australian saltwater crocodile). Its description in RNAcentral is "lncRNA (ENSCPRG00005004556.1)". The record is from RNAcentral. Lineage: Eukaryota; Metazoa; Chordata; Crocodylia; Crocodylidae.
CAACUGCAUAGCUAUAUUUUCACUUGUCAUAUCAGCUGAUUAUACAUAACAUCAGAGUUAAAACUGCUGACCACUAACUAUAUGAUGUCAUUUUGGGAGAACAGGAUUAGAGCUUUCUCCAGUAGUAUCCAGUGAUUGUGCUUCCUAAGCUCCAUAUGAGGACAUUUGGAACCAAACCCCACAGGAAAUGGAAUAAACAGGGAGAUUUGAGAUUUCAACCCUGCUUGACUUCUACUAUGGCAAAAGCUUGCUGCUGCUGCUGCUGCUGCUGGAAUAACAGAAGACCCAGUCCCAUUUAAAUCAGAAAUAACUUCAGUGAAGUGAAUGUAGCCUGAUGUACAACAGAUCUAAUCAAGACCAGAAUUUUU